RNAcentral lists this ribosomal RNA (523 nucleotides) under uncultured bacterium. RNAcentral describes it as "partial 16S ribosomal RNA". It matches the Rfam family "Bacterial small subunit ribosomal RNA", at positions 355 to 895 of the family's 1533-position model. The record is from RNAcentral.
UGGGGAAUAUUGCACAAUGGGCGAAAGCCUGAUGCAGCAACGCCGCGUGAGUGAUGAAGGCCUUCGGGUUGUAAAGCUCUGUCUUUUGGGACGAUAAUGACGGUACCAAAGGAGGAAGCCACGGCUAACUACGUGCCAGCAGCCGCGGUAAUACGUAGGUGGCAAGCGUUGUCCGGAUUUACUGGGCGUAAAGGAUGCGUAGGCGGAUUUUUAAGUGAGAUGUGAAAACCCUAAGCUUAACUUGGGACUGCAUUCAUACUGGAAAUCUAGAGUGCGGGAGAGGAGAAUGGAAUUCCUAGUGUAGCGGUGAAAUGCGUAGAGAUUAGGAAGAACACCAGUGGCGAAGGCGAUUCUCUGGACCGUAACUGACGCUGAGGCAUGAAAGCGUGGGUAGCAAACAGGAUUAGAUACCCUGGUAGUCCACGCCGUAAACGAUGAGUACUAGGUGUAGGAGGUAUCGACCCCCUUCUGUGCCGCAGUUAACACAAUAAGUACUCCGCCUGGGAAGUACGAUCGCAAGAUU